This is a long non-coding RNA of Rhododendron vialii, 1153 nucleotides long. RefSeq lists it as uncharacterized. NCBI's taxonomy places the organism in Eukaryota, Viridiplantae, Streptophyta, Magnoliopsida, Ericales, Ericaceae. The record is from RefSeq and is a predicted model, not a curated record. The transcript has 6 exons.
AUCUCUGUUCACAACUCCUAAAUCGCGCGCGCGCUAAGGCGGGUGCUGAUGGUGAUGGGCAAUGCAGAAGGCGGGGCGAGACAUCCAGUGGCUGCUGCGAUCGCAACCCUUCUCCGACGAUCCAUCCAUUCGCCGCAUCAGUCUCUAGGCCUCGCCUUAGGGUAAUUGUCCUUGAAAUGGAGCUUCAUUAUCAGAAGUUUGAAUUUGCUACCCGUGAUGAGAUGUGCUGUUCAAACAGAGAGCCAGGCUAAUCAGACACCCAGGUCAUCACCUGGUUCCAGUUGACAAUGGCACAAGGGGGAAAAUAUCCAGGGCAUUUGAUGUUCAAUGGGCUUCCUAUCUUGAAUUUUACUUUUUCCCAUGGAGGAAUUAAAUAUCUUAAGUGCUCAAGUGGAAGGAGGCCAAUAAGCCACGCUGAUCUCAGCCUUAUCGCAAAGUGGAAAAAAGGAACGGUACAGGCAUGCCUUUAGCUUUGUGGCACAUUUUCUUGUUAUGGGGAACCAUGCAACCCACAAAAGUCAGAGUUCUUAUCUUUUAGCUGGCAAUAAAUAGAAUCAACAAAUCCCGACCCUAGCAGACUGCCAAGUUACUGUCAGAAACUGGAGAAAGAAUGACAAAUUAAUGGCUAAGGCCCUACUUUGAACAAGUAGCAAGAUAUUUUCUCUCUUUGGGCACCCUUAGCCUGACUUUUUGCCAUCUGAUCGAUACCAUGAUUAAGCCUUGAAUUAUUGGCAAUCCGUUGUUGCUUCUCUUCAUGACUUGUUGAAAAUUGGCUUCGUCCAUGUGCUUGACCGCUGACUUCGGAGCUAUACUUCUUCUUAGGGUCCGGAAGACUUGGAUUAGCAUAGCAAACAUAGAUCUAUUGCAACUUUUGCACACAUACAUAACACCAGACCCAUACUUCCACACUUUAUGCCUCUAGAUGCACACGCCACACGCAUAUUAAGUUGGUAUGUAUUUAUUCAGGACAUACCGUAUUCACCACUUUCGCAUGCCUUUCUCUUGUAUUCUUGUUAUUUUGAGCUCUAAAUUGAGUUUGAGUAACUUGAUUUGUUUUGAAAUCCAAUUUUAGAGUUCGUAUUCAAUCGAUGUGUGAAAGUAAUGAGUUCCAAAAUGCCUAAUAUAUUAGCUAACUUGUAUAAGAAAUUCUUUU